Molecule: long non-coding RNA, 235 nt
Filed under: Mytilus galloprovincialis (Mediterranean mussel)
Lineage: Eukaryota; Metazoa; Mollusca; Bivalvia; Mytilida; Mytilidae
Source: RNAcentral
CCUUUUUGGUAUGUCUUUACUUUUGUCAGCAUUAAAAGUACGUUUUGAAGAAUGAGACUUGAGAUUAAUGUGAAAAUUCCUAAUGCCAACUAAAAGGCCAUGAGACACAGAAAUUAUCAAUGAAUUUGGUCUAUCCGGUUACACUAUUAUUAACUAACAUUCGUUUUAAAGCGACCUAUACAUCAGUACGCGUUAGUAUUUUAUAAAACAUCUAGUACUAUUGGUAUACAGGUAG